Arachis ipaensis is the source of this 1927-nucleotide RNA transcript. RefSeq lists it as uncharacterized. The record is from RefSeq and is a predicted model, not a curated record. NCBI's taxonomy places the organism in Eukaryota, Viridiplantae, Streptophyta, Magnoliopsida, Fabales, Fabaceae.
UCCCAUUCACACUCCAUUCACACUCUAUUCGAACUCUUUGCCCACAUCCUUCAAACUCUUUCCUCUGCAGCCCGCCGCCCACAGCCACCGUAGUCUCUGCCGCCACUGCAGCCACGCAGCCCCGCAUCAGCCCUCGCAGCUCCCCGCAACCCCCACAGCCUCGCAGCCCCGCAGCGGCGCAGCCACCGCAGCUCCUACACAGACACAGCCUCCACCGCCACCGUAGAAGAUCUGUCGCCGUUGUAGGAAGCUGUGUUGCCGUGAUUGGAAGCUUCCUCGCCGUCGUUUGGAAGCUCGUUGGCCGUCUCCUCUGUUCGAGCGCUCUCCUUCUCUCUCUGUGUCGCCGUUGUGUUUCUGCCACUGCCCUUCUUCCUCGCAGCCGGUAUCUGCUUUGAAUGAGGCAAGACCAGGAAGUGUUAAGUCAGUUUUUAAAGCUUGGGAGGAGCGUCUGAAUUCUUCUGGGAACGAGCUGCUGUUUGCAGAGAUAAGAUUACAUGCAGAAGAGGGAGGUAGACUUGCAUAACAACAACCAGUUUCUUAGAGCUAAGGAGAGAAGUGAUUGAUGAAGGAGGAUGGUUGCAUACAGGAGAUAUUGGAAUGUGGUUACCUGGUGGUCGUCUCAAAAUUAUUGAUAGGUAUAUAUAUGGCAGAGUUUCUCCUAAAUUAGAUGUCUUUGCUUUUGGGGCUUUAUGAGCUUAUUUCUGCUAAAGAAGCUGUGAUCAAUGGUGGUGCUGAUUCCUAAUUCCUAAUAAACAAUUGGCUUACUUCAAGUCGGUCCAACAUGUCUACUUAUGUUGAGGGUGAGAUGAAGAGAUCUGGUUCCGAAUUGAAUUCUCAGGAUGUCUCAGACAACAGCACAGAUUCCUUCAGGAGGAAUGCAUUUCCAAGUAUGUCACAGAGACCCAGCAACCUCAGAGUAUUCUCUGUAUCCGAGCUGAAAUGCCACGAAGAAUUUCAGCCGGUCCGUUAUGCUUGGAGAGGGUGGGUUUGGGUGUGUCUACAAGGGACUUAUCAAGAGUGCUGAUGAUCCUUCUUUUCUAAUUUUUCCGGUGAUUUUUGUGGCAGUUUCAUCAAGUUUUUGUCAUGCACCACCCUCCUUCACUUCCCUCCUCAUCCAACGGUUAAGAUAUUAUUUUCUUCCUCCUCCUCUUUUUUUUUUUAAUAAGUCUCAAUAUAUAUUUAUUAUAAUACAGAUAUAUAUAUAUAUAUUGGGUGUAGAAUGCCGGGAUUUUAUUACUACUAUUAGAAUUGCUACUAUUAUAAUACAAAUAUAAUCAGUGGAUCAGAGCCUAAGACAUUUAAUUCAUCAUUUCUAUGUAUUUAGUUGUUUUCAUAUUCUAUAUAUUUGUCAGAUGAUAUAUCAGGAAAAAAGAGAAAAAAAAACGCAAAAAAAGGUUUUGCACUUUUGCUUGCCGUGGCUGGUCUCUAUUCCUUUGGAAACUUAUUUGAGAUGCAAGAGUAGAUUUUUGUUAUUAAUGCCAUCAAUUAACUUAUUUUUCAUGCAAAUUGUGGUCAAUGAUAGCAUAUUUAUGGCUGAACAACCUAAUUCUGUGUUACUUAGGUGUAAAAAAUACAUUGUCAGAACCCAUGAAAUACACUGCCAGAACCAGAGAGAACAGUCCAAGAUCUUCUGGUACCUCACCGCUUAGGACUCUCAGAAUUCAGUCUUUGGGAAAGCUGAAUCCAAUUGAUUUGAAGCGCUUGUCUUUCCAUAUGUCACCACCUCAGAGGGCAACUCAAAACAAGAAGAUUAAUGAGGAACCAGACAGAGAAAUGGAAGUGGAUCACAAAGAUGUAAAAGCUGAAAAGGAUGACACACCAGAGUUAUAGUCGAUAGUUUUAGUAUGGUUAAACAACAUACUGGGAAUUAUAGUUGAUGAUCAAUACACUUUGUUUAUGUUUUAAAUUAUAUUGACUUGUUUGUUUA